RNAcentral lists this ribosomal RNA (442 nucleotides) under uncultured bacterium. RNAcentral's name for it is "partial 16S ribosomal RNA". It matches the Rfam family "Bacterial small subunit ribosomal RNA", at positions 338 to 795 of the family's 1533-position model. The record is from RNAcentral.
CCUACGGGAGGCAGCAGUGGGGAAUAUUGGGCAAUGGACGCAAGUCUGACCCAGCAACGCCGCGUGAAGGAAGAAGGCUUUCGGGUUGUAAACUUCUUUUAAGGGGGAAGAGCAGAAGACGGUACCCCUUGAAUAAGCCACGGCUAACUACGUGCCAGCAGCCGCGGUAAUACGUAGGUGGCAAGCGUUGUCCGGAUUUACUGGGUGUAAAGGGCGUGCAGCCGGGCCGACAAGUCAGAUGUGAAAUCCGCGGGCUUAACCCGCGAACUGCAUUUGAAACUAUUGGUCUUGAGUACCGGAGAGGUCAUCGGAAUUCCUUGUGUAGCGGUGAAAUGCGUAGAUAUAAGGAAGAACACCAGUGGCGAAGGCGGAUGACUGGACGGCAACUGACGGUGAGGCGCGAAAGCGUGGGGAGCAAACAGGAUUAGAUACCCCAGUAGUC